This is an unclassified non-coding RNA of Myotis lucifugus (little brown bat), 106 nucleotides long. Its record names the gene Vault. It matches the Rfam family "Vault RNA". Rfam says of the family: This family of RNAs are found as part of the enigmatic vault ribonucleoprotein complex. The complex consists of a major vault protein (MVP), two minor vault proteins (VPARP and TEP1), and several small untranslated RNA molecules. Lineage: Eukaryota; Metazoa; Chordata; Mammalia; Chiroptera; Vespertilionidae. The record is from Ensembl.
GGGCUGGCUUUAGCUCAAUGGUUCCUUCGAAUACAAUGCUUACCAAUCACUCUUGCCCACCUGCAUAAGAGUGGUUCGAGACUCGUGGGCGCCUUCCAGCCCUUUA